Peromyscus eremicus (cactus mouse) is the source of this 814-nucleotide long non-coding RNA. RefSeq lists it as uncharacterized. NCBI's taxonomy places the organism in Eukaryota, Metazoa, Chordata, Mammalia, Rodentia, Cricetidae. The record is from RefSeq and is a predicted model, not a curated record. The transcript has 3 exons.
UCCUCAGACUUCAGUAGUUGGUUUGCCAACUGCUGUAGCUAACUUGGAUAUUUAGUGUCAAGGAGGAGUAAGAGAAUUUCAAGUCCACUGAAUGGCUCUCCAUUCCAGGCUCUGCUGAAAAGAGUUAAAGAAAAUAGAAGAAGUUCUUUGAUAAGCUGGAGUUUUCAGUGAGGUGCUAACUAUGUCCUUCUGAACACACCAGCCCCAAACACUGGGCACCUUUUUCAAAAGACCAUCAUGGCUAUUUGUGAAGAUGGUGAGUUGCCUGAUCCAAUUCUGUGACUAUGGAACAACCUUUUGAAGACCAUUAAAUUCCAUAGUGGCCUGCACAAGAGACAACUGCAGAAGGGUGUCUGAGGCUCCAUCUGGAUAAGCCCACUUAGUUAGCUGUCCAUAAUUUUUUUCAUUCAUUUUGAGACUAGAAUCCCUGUAACCAAAUAUUACUUCUUUCUUCAUUUAUUGUUACAAUAUUAUUUUCUUUUUCAUUUGGAAAUAGGAUUUAUUAUUCAAUUUCUCCUGUUUUUCAUUAUGCUUCAAUGAAAAUAGUUUACAAUUUAAAAAGAAGACAAUAUUUUACUGAUUUAAUGUUUCAGCUAAUCUUAUUUGAGUAUCAGUGAGACAGCUCUGUUGGAAAUAUUUGCCUUGUGCAAGGCUCUAACCUCAUCUUGAUCACCACAUAAAGCUAGACAAAAGUAGACCCCACAAAGUUAUCUUCUUGUCUCCACAUAUCUAUCAUGGCCUAAAAAAACUGAUAGUCACAUUGCACAAACACACAGCAAAAUGUUUUUAAAUAAAUCUCAUUGUCAUUACAUUA